This 506-nucleotide ribosomal RNA is filed under the name uncultured bacterium. RNAcentral's name for it is "partial 16S ribosomal RNA". It matches the Rfam family "Bacterial small subunit ribosomal RNA", at positions 29 to 523 of the family's 1533-position model. The record is from RNAcentral.
AGUGAACGCUGGCGGUAGGCCUAACACAUGCAAGUCGAACGGCAGCACAGAGGAGCUUGCUCCUUGGGUGGCGAGUGGCGGACGGGUGAGGAAUACAUCGGAAUCUACUCUGUCGUGGGGGAUAACGUAGGGAAACCUACGCUAAUACCGCAUACGACCUACGGGUGAAAGCAGGGGAUCUUCGGACCUUGCGCGAUUGAAUGAGCCGAUGUCGGAUUAGCUAGUUGGCGGGGUAAAGGCCCACCAAGGCGACGAUCCGUAGCUGGUCUGAGAGGAUGAUCAGCCACACUGGAACUGGGACACGGUCCAGACUCCUACGGGAGGCAGCAGUGGGGAAUAUUGGACAAUGGGCGCAAGCCUGAUCCAGCCAUACCGCGUGGGUGAAGAAGGCCUUCGGGUUGUAAAGCCCUUUUGUUGGGAAAGAAAUCCAUCUGGUUAAUACCCGGGUGGGAUGACGGUACCCAAAGAAUAAGCACCGGCUAACUUCGUGCCAGCCGCCGCGGUAA